This 244-nucleotide ribosomal RNA is filed under the name uncultured bacterium. RNAcentral's name for it is "partial 16S ribosomal RNA". It matches the Rfam family "Bacterial small subunit ribosomal RNA", at positions 1257 to 1500 of the family's 1533-position model. The record is from RNAcentral.
GCGAGGUGGAGCAAAUCCCCAAAAAGUAGUCCCAGUUCGGACUGCAGUCUGCAACUCGACUGCACGAAGUCGGAAUUGCUAGUAAUCGCGGAUCAGCAUGCCGCGGUGAAUACGUUCCCGGGCCUUGUACACACCGCCCGUCACACCAUGGGAGUUGGUAACACCCGAAGUCAGUAGCCUAACCGCAAGGAGGGCGCUGCCGAAGGUGGGAUCGAUGACUGGGGUGAAGUCGUAACAAGGUAUC